AUUGAACGCUGGCGGCAGGCCUAACACAUGCAAGUCGAACGGUAACAGGAAGAAGCUUGCUUCUUUGCUGACGAGUGGCGGACGGGUGAGUAAUGUCUGGGAAACUGCCUGAUGGAGGGGGAUAACUACUGGAAACGGUAGCUAAUACCGCAUAAUGUCGCAAGACCAAAGAGGGGAACCUUCGGGCCUCUUGCCAUCGGCUGUGCCCAGAUGGGAUUAGCUAGUAGGUGGGGUAACGGCUCACCUAGGCGACGAUCCCUAGCUGUUCUGAGAGGAUGACCAGCCACACUGGAACUGAGACACGGUCCAGACUCCUACGGGAGGCAGCAGUGGGGAAUAUUGCACAAUGGGCGCAAGCCUGAUGCAGCGAUGCCGCGUGUAUGAAGAAGGCCUUCGGGUUGUAAAGUACUUUCAGCGGGGAGGAAGGGAGUAAAGUUAAUACCUUGGCUCAUUGACGUUACCCGCAGAAGAAGCACCGGCUAACUCCGUG
This 490-nucleotide ribosomal RNA is filed under the name uncultured bacterium. RNAcentral describes it as "partial 16S ribosomal RNA". It matches the Rfam family "Bacterial small subunit ribosomal RNA", at positions 30 to 507 of the family's 1533-position model. The record is from RNAcentral.